UGUCUCAGUUGGUAGAGCAUGGCGCUUGCAACGCCAGGGUUGUGGGUUUGAUUCCCAC
This 58-nucleotide transfer RNA is filed under the name Salmo salar (Atlantic salmon). It matches the Rfam family "tRNA", at positions 8 to 63 of the family's 71-position model. Rfam says of the family: Transfer RNA (tRNA) molecules are approximately 80 nucleotides in length. Their secondary structure includes four short double-helical elements and three loops (D, anti-codon, and T loops). Lineage: Eukaryota; Metazoa; Chordata; Actinopteri; Salmoniformes; Salmonidae. The record is from Rfam by way of RNAcentral. RNAcentral also lists the same sequence under 1 other name.